Molecule: ribosomal RNA, 450 nt
Filed under: uncultured bacterium
Lineage: Bacteria
Description: bacterial SSU rRNA
Rfam family: Bacterial small subunit ribosomal RNA
Source: RNAcentral
GGCCUAACACAUGCAAGUCGAACGAACGUAGCAAUACGUUAGUGGCGCACGGGUGAGUAACACGUGGAUAUCUGCCUUUUGGUUCGGGAUAACCCUGGGAAACUAGGGCUAAUACCGAAUGGUUCCUACGGGAUAAAGAUUUAUCGCCAAAAGAUGAGUCCGCGUCCGAUUAGCUAGUUGGUGAGGUAAUGGCUCACCAAGGCGACGAUCGGUAGCUGGUCUGAGAGGACGAUCAGCCACACUGGGACUGAGACACGGCCCAGACUCCUACGGGAGGCAGCAGUGGGGAAUAUUGGACAAUGGGGGCAACCCUGAUCCAGCCAUGCCGCGUGAGUGAUGAAGGCCUUCGGGUUGUAAAGCUCUUUUGGCGGGGACGAUGAUGACGGUACCCGCAGAAUAAGCCCCGGCUAACUUCGUGCCAGCAGCCGCGGUAAGACGAAGGGGGCUAGC